Molecule: long non-coding RNA, 708 nt
Organism: Lycium ferocissimum
Lineage: Eukaryota; Viridiplantae; Streptophyta; Magnoliopsida; Solanales; Solanaceae
Exons: 2
Source: RefSeq, a predicted model, not a curated record
UCUUUUUCUUCAGUUCCUCUUCUUUCUUCUUCUUUCUUCGACUUCUGCUUCUUCUUCUGUUCUUCUUCUUUCUUCUUCUUUUUUUCCGGCGACAACUGCUCUAUUUCCGGCCACCUCUGCAGUUUCUUUUUUCCUUCUUCUAUUCUCUUCUUCUUUUUCUGUUUUUUCUCCUCUGUUUUUUUCCCCUCUGGUUUUUUCUCCUCUGUUUUUUUCUCCUCUGUUUUUUCCUCUGUUUUUUUUUCCUCAACUGCACCAGUGAGGCAGUGGUUGUUUUGCUCCUAUUUUUUCUGUUCAAUAAUUGUUUAACUUUUGUUAUACAGUUAUAAACAGUAGGUUCAAAUUCAAUGGAAUCGUCGGACACUAGCAAAAAAGACAUAGGUUGGAAUUAUGGUACCAAAGGCCCAGCAAAAGAUUCAGUUACAUGUAUCUUUUGUCGAGGCACUUUCAAUGGCGGAAUUACUCGACACAAACAACAUUUGAUUGGUGGUUACAAAAAUGUAAAAAAAUGUACAAUUUGUCCGCCUGAAAUUAGGGAAGAAGUAAAAAAGUAUGUUGAAAGUAAACAGUUUGUUGCUUGUCUUGUCACUUAUGAAUUAUUGAGUCAUUGACUCAUUCAAGUUCUAGACUUUUAGUAUCUACUAUCUACUUUUAAUUUUUGAAUUGAAAUAUUUGCUAAUAUGUUAUUGCUAGUGAGAUUUUGAUUAUUUA